RNAcentral lists this ribosomal RNA (497 nucleotides) under uncultured bacterium. Its description in RNAcentral is "partial 16S ribosomal RNA". It matches the Rfam family "Bacterial small subunit ribosomal RNA", at positions 28 to 507 of the family's 1533-position model. The record is from RNAcentral.
GAUGAACGCUGGCGGCGUGCCUAAUACAUGCAAGUCGAGCGAACAGACGAGGAGCUUGCUCCUCUGACGUUAGCGGCGGACGGGUGAGUAACACGUGGAUAACCUACCUAUAAGACUGGGAUAACUUCGGGAAACCGGAGCUAAUACCGGAUAAUAUAUUGAACCGCAUGGUUCAAUAGUGAAAGACGGUUUUGCUGUCACUUAUAGAUGGAUCCGCGCCGCAUUAGCUAGUUGGUAAGGUAACGGCUUACCAAGGGGACGAUGCGUAGCCGACCUGAGAGGGUGGUCGGCCACACUGGAACUGAGACACGGUCCAGACGCCUACGGUAGGCAGCAGUAGCGAAUCUUCCGCAAUGGGCGAAAGCCUGACGGAGCAGCGCCGCGUGAGUGAUGAAGGUCUUCGGAUCGUAAAACUCUGUUAUUAGGGAAGAACAAAUGUGUAAGUAACUAUGCACGUCUUGACGGUACCUAAUCAGAAAGCCACGGCUAACUACGUG